Molecule: ribosomal RNA, 419 nt
Filed under: uncultured bacterium
Lineage: Bacteria
Description: bacterial SSU rRNA
Rfam family: Bacterial small subunit ribosomal RNA
Source: RNAcentral
AUCUGUUAGUGGCGGACGGGUGAGUAACACGUGGGUAAUCUGCCUGAAAGACCGGGACAACAGGGUGAAAACGCUGCUAAUACCGGAUAAGCUCAGCGGGACGGAAGUCCUGGGGAGAAAAGGAGCAAUCCGCUUUCAGAUGAGCUCGCGGCUGAUUAGCCAGUUGGUGGGGUAACGGCCUACCAAAGCGACGAUCAGUAGCCGGCCUGAGAGGGUGUACGGCCACACUGGAACUGAGAAACGGCCCAGACUCCUACGGGAGGCAGCAGUGGGGAAUUUUCCGCAAUGGGCGAAAGCCUGACGGGAAGCAAUGCCGCGUGAGUGAAGAAGGCCUUCGGGUUGUAAAGCUCUGUCUUCAGGGACGAAGAAGUGACGGUACCUGAGGAGGAAGCCACGGCUAACUACGUGCCAGCCGCCGC